RNAcentral lists this ribosomal RNA (251 nucleotides) under uncultured bacterium. RNAcentral's name for it is "partial 16S ribosomal RNA". It matches the Rfam family "Bacterial small subunit ribosomal RNA", at positions 524 to 776 of the family's 1533-position model. The record is from RNAcentral.
UACGUAGGAGGCGAGCGUUGUCCGGAAUCACUGGGUGUAAAGCGCGUGUAGGCGGCCUGCCAAGUCUGCUGUGAAAGCGCCUGGCUUAACCGGGCGAGGUCGGUGGAAACUGGCGGGCUGGAGGACGGUAGAGGGGGUGGAAUUCCCGGUGUAGUGGUGAAAUGCGUAGAGAUCGGAGGAACACCAGUGGCGAAGGCGGCCCCCUGGGCCGUUCCUGACGCUGAGACGCGAAGGCGCGGGGAGCGAACGGG